Molecule: ribosomal RNA, 240 nt
Filed under: uncultured bacterium
Lineage: Bacteria
Description: partial 16S ribosomal RNA
Rfam family: Bacterial small subunit ribosomal RNA
Source: RNAcentral
AGAGUUUGAUCCUGGCUCAGUAUGAACGCUAGCUACAGGCUUAACACAUGCAAGUCGAGGGGCAGCAUGAACUUAGCUUGCUAAGUUUGAUGGCGACCGGCGCACGGGUGAGUAACACGUAUCCAACCUGCCGAUGACUCGGGGAUAGCCUUUCGAAAGAAAGAUUAAUACCCGAUGGCAUAGUUCUUCCGCAUGGUGGAACUAUUAAAGAAUUUCGGUCAUCGAUGGGGAUGCAUUCCA